Molecule: ribosomal RNA, 411 nt
Filed under: uncultured bacterium
Lineage: Bacteria
Description: bacterial SSU rRNA
Rfam family: Bacterial small subunit ribosomal RNA
Source: RNAcentral
GACGAACGCUGGCGGCGUGCUUAACACAUGCAAGUCUACGAGAACGAGGUAGCAAUAUCUUUAGUAAAGUGGCGCACGGGUGCGUAACACGUAAGCAAUCUACCUUUGGGUUCGGAAUAACUUCGAGAAAUCGAGGCUAAUACCGGAUAAUGCAGCGGCAUCGCAUGGUGAUGUUGUUAAAGUUUGAGUAAUGCCUAAAGAUGAGCUUGCGUCUGAUUAGCUAGUUGGUAGGGUAAUGGCCUACCAAGGCAACGAUCAGUAGCUGGUCUGAGAGGAUGAUCAGCCACACUGGAACUGAGACACGGUCCAGACUCCUACGGGAGGCAGCAGUGAGGAAUAUUGGGCAAUGCCCGCAAGGGUGACCCAGCAACGCCGCGUGGAGGAUGAAGGCCGUAAGGUUGUAAACUCCUG